AAUAAAGAGUAUUAGAGGUACCCGAACAACAUCUCCAGUUUCACAAGAAAGUGGAAUGUAUUGUAUAGCUGAUUCAAUUUAAGAAAGAAAAAAAGAAGCACCAAUAAAUUAAUGGUGGAAGCACAAAAGUUACGCGAAAAACCAAGUGGGACAUGGUCAGAAAUUUGGGAAAACAAUAAAUGCAUACAAGAAUAAGUGCAUUAAGCUUGAGGUAUCUAAAAUUAUUGAGUUUCACUUAGCCGAUUACGCAGGCCACUACGAGCAAAGGUUUAGAUCUUGUUCUGCGUUUCAAUUUUGCUCAUUACUUUUCAAGGUUUAGGCUCUCUAUUUCCGGUUAGGAUUUCUACUGAAUUCCAAAUUUAUGGUCUGUUUAUCCAUAGGCGACUUACCUAAUUUCGCAGUUUCUGCCCUUUCAGUUCCACCGGCCCCCUCCUCUCCUUCUGAUAGUUAUAGUCGUCGAGCCAAGGGGCGAUAUGAAGAACGCACACUCAUUAAUUUUUGACGUGCUAUAACCGGAAAUAUUUGACCAUUUAGUUUAAUUUUUGACGUGCUAUCUAAUUUAGCUUCCGAAGUCUUUAUUCGACAAAGGACAAGUACACUUGCCCAGUUGCCCUAACUGUGGACAUAGAUUCACCGAGGGUUGAGACAACCAUUUUCAGCAUUAUCAGGACGAUUAAGAAAAAGAAAAAUGUUUAGGUCGCUCAUGUUCUUCGUAUCAUAGUCUUUGGGCAAACGACAAGAUUUUGUGUAAAUGCCAAUCUUUAAUUUCAUUUUA
Molecule: long non-coding RNA, 775 nt
Organism: Camelina sativa (false flax)
Lineage: Eukaryota; Viridiplantae; Streptophyta; Magnoliopsida; Brassicales; Brassicaceae
Source: RefSeq, a predicted model, not a curated record